GUGGAGGGUGCGCUUGGCGGCGGCGGCGGGAGCUGCGGAGUCGGGAAUCAAAACAAAGGGCCUGGGGGGGGCGGGGGGAAGGCGGCGGGGCCGGAAUGUGAGCGGAGGUGGAGCCGGCGGCAGAGGGUGGAAGAAUGAAAGAAAAGAAAGAUGAAAGGAUGUUGAAUCACUUUGCAUGGCUGUAUGAUGGAAGGAAACGGAACUGAGAACUCCUGCAGUAGAACACGUGGAUGGCUUCAACAAGAUAAUGAUGCUAAGCCAUGGCUUUGGAAAUUCUCUAAUUGCUUUUCUCGUCCUGAGCAGACGCUGCCACAUAGUCCCCAAACGAAAGAGUACAUGGAGAACAAGAAAGUUGCUGUGGAACUAAAGGAUGUACCAUCACCCCUUCAUGCUGGCUCUAAGCUUUUUCCAGCAGUCCCACUUCCUGAUAUUCGUUCUCUUCAGCAGCCUAAAAUACAGCUUUCUACUGUCCCCAAAGUAAGCUGCUGUGCUCAUUGCCCUAAUGAACCCUCCACUUCGCCAAUGCGUUUUGGUGGUGGUGGUGGCGGUAGCGGAGGUACCAGUAGCUUGAUUCACCCGGGCGCACUGUUAGACUCGCAAAGCACCAGGACAAUCACGUGUCAGGUAGGGUCAGGGUUUGCUUUCCAGUCUGCAUCUUCACUCCAGAAUGCCUCAGCUAGGAACAAUUUGGCAGGCAUUGCAAGUGACUUUCCCAGCAUGUGUCUAGAGAGUAACCUGUCUUCCUGCAAACACCUGCCCUGUUGUGGAAAACUCCACUUCCAGUCAUGUCAUGGUAAUGUGCACAAGCUGCAUCAGUUUCCGAGUCUGCAGGGCUGCACCUCCGCUGGCUAUUUCCCCUGUUCUGAUUUCACAAGCGGGGCUCCAGGGCAUUUGGAAGAGCACAUUUCACAGUCGGAGCUAACGCCUCACUUGUGCACCAACUCUUUGCACCUUAAUGUGGUACCUCCGGUUUGUUUAAAGGGCUCACUUUACUGCGAAGACUGUCUAAACAAGGUUCGUAUCUUUUUAUUUCUUAAGUUGGGUGCAGCUGAGGAUUGAGGAAUGACUUUUUUGAAGUGGAUUUAUCUUGAAAAGUAUUAUACAUGGGGUUGAAGAUUCUCCCAUGGUAUAGGGGAAUCUCCCCAUCAGCAUAAUUUUUGCUGGUUCUGAAAGAAACAAAGGGUAAGAUGGGAGAUCAUUCAAAAAAGUAGAGAGUCAUUAUUUUUGUAGUUUAUACUUUUAGAGCCUCUUGUUGCAAACAAGAGGUUGGCAAAGCCUUCGUGUUCUAUGUUUAAAGGCUAAAGCACGAUGGAUUUCUUAUAACUUACAUUCAACUUAUACAUGGGUCCAUUCAUGUAAGGUAGAUAACUGCAUGUUGUCUUUUUGCAAUAAUGUGGGAAACCUGAAGCUUGGCCUCAGUCACAUUGGUGUUCAAGUGAGACUUUGCUACCCUUUAUGUAAAAUAUGUGUGAGGUCUUCGUUGCAGCAGACUCAUGCCCCAGAAUGUAAAGAUCUGACCACGUGAAUAUCUUUCUUGAUCAUGUCAAGUCACUUCUGGAAAUGAAUUUAUGAACUGAUAGCUAAUGGUUCUUGGAAAGAUUAUUUGAAAGUCCUUUUUAUUAGAGGCUAGCAAGUGGAAAGGUAAAACACUUAGAGUGUAUUUUCAGUUGUUGUAUAUAACUCCAGCUUCUGAAAUGAUGUAUCUGACACCUCCUCCUUUUUAAAAAAAAUUUAAAACAGCCAGCAAGAAAUAGCAUAAUCGAUGCGGCUAAAGUCUGGCCAAAUAUACCACCUCCAAAUACUCAACCUGCACCUCUUGCUGUCCCUCUGUGUAAUGGCUGUGGAACCAAAGGAACAGGGAAGGAGACCACGUUGUUAUUGGCGACCAGUCUAGGCAAAGCUGCUUCAAAAUUUGGGUCACCAGAAGUUGCAGUAGCUGGACAGGUGCUAGAAAACUUACCCCCCAUUGGAGUUUUUUGGGAUAUUGAAAACUGCUCCGUUCCCUCUGGCCGGUCAGCAACUGCUGUUGUGCAAAGAAUCCGUGAGAAGUUUUUUAAAGGCCACAGAGAAGCAGAAUUCAUCUGUGUAUGUGACAUCAGUAAAGAAAACAAGGAAGUUAUUCAAGAGCUGAAUAAUUGCCAGGUAACCGUUGCCCACAUCAAUGCUACUGCAAAGAAUGCCGCUGAUGAUAAACUGCGGCAGAGUCUCCGCAGAUUUGCAAAUACACACACUGCUCCAGCCACAGUGGUUCUUGUGUCAACUGAUGUCAAUUUUGCAUUGGAACUUAGUGACCUGAGACACAGGCAUGGUUUCCACAUUAUUUUGGUCCAUAAAAACCAGGCCUCAGAAGCACUGCUGCAUCAUGCUAACGAGCUGAUCAGAUUUGAAGAGUUCAUUUCCGACUUGCCCCCCAGGUUACCACUAAAAAUGCCAGUAAGUGGGUUUGCGUUAUUUUUGCCAUUUUCCAAUAUUACAUUGUGGAGGCUGAAAGACAGCCCAUAAUAAGGGGGUUGCCAGGCCCAGAUGGGGCU
RNAcentral lists this small RNA (2531 nucleotides) under Pan troglodytes (chimpanzee). RNAcentral describes it as "retained intron". The record is from RNAcentral. Lineage: Eukaryota; Metazoa; Chordata; Mammalia; Primates; Hominidae.